Molecule: small RNA, 857 nt
Filed under: Sabia sp. MR-2013
Lineage: Eukaryota; Viridiplantae; Streptophyta; Magnoliopsida; Proteales; Sabiaceae
Description: eukaryotic LSU rRNA
Rfam family: 5.8S ribosomal RNA (bases 396-551)
Source: RNAcentral
CGCCGUCGGCGACGUCGCGAGAAGUCCACUGAACCUUAUCAUUUAGAGGAAGGAGAAGUCGUAACAAGGUUUCCGUAGGUGAACCUGCGGAAGGAUCAUUGUCGAAGCCCGCUCGCUCAACGGAACGACCCGUGAACCUGUCAUUUACGUUCCGGGGGGACCACGCACGGACGGUGCGGUGUCGCCCCCGCCCCGGGUUCACGCACUACCGAUUUCCCGGUCCCGUGCCCYGUACGCGUGCGGCUCCGGUCGUUGGCAUGUGUCGUGGCACCCGGAUAAAACAAUCACCCCGGCGCGAUCGGCGCCAAGGAACAUAAACGAAAUCGGCACGCCCCCGCCACCGCCCCGGACACGGGGAGUGCGUGGUCGGGUGUCGUGUCCUCGAUUCUUAAAACGACUCUCGGCAACGGAUAUCUCGGCUCUCGCAUCGAUGAAGAACGUAGCGAAAUGCGAUACUUGGUGUGAAUUGCAGAAUCCCGUGAACCAUCGAGUCUUUGAACGCAAGUUGCGCCCCAGGCCUUAUGGUCGAGGGCACGUCUGCCUGGGCGUCACGCAUCGCGACACUCCGACCCGAACGCUCGACGUAACGUUCGGACGCGGAGCGGAGAUUGGCUUCCCGUGCUCUCUGUUGCGCGGUUGGCCUAAAAGCCGGCCCCCGGCGGUGAGCCUCACGAUGAUCGGUGGUUGAUCGAAACCCCCUGCCGUUGUUGGACAUCGUGCCCGUUGCUGUGCCGUCCGCGGAGCCUUCGAUACCCCCACCGGAGCGUUGUCGUAACGACGACGCCCACACUGCGACCCCAGGUCAGGCGAGAACACCCGCUGAGUUUAAGCAUAUCAAUAAGCGGAGGAAAAGAAAC